CCUACGGGGGGCUGCAGUGGGGAAUAUUGCACAAUGGGCGCAAGCCUGAUGCAGCCAUGCCGCGUGUGUGAAGAAGGCCUUCGGGUUGUAAAGCACUUUCAGCGGGGAGGAAGGCGGUGAGGUUAAUAACCUCAUCGAUUGACGUUACCCGCAGAAGAAGCACCGGCUAACUCCGUGCCAGCAGCCGCGGUAAUACGGAGGGUGCAAGCGUUAAUCGGAAUUACUGGGCGUAAAGCGCACGCAGGCGGUCUGUCAAGUCGGAUGUGAAAUCCCCGGGCUCAACCUGGGAACUGCAUACGAAACUGGCAGGCUAGAGUCUUGUAGAGGGGGGUAGAAUUCCAGGUGUAGCGGUGAAAUGCGUAGAGAUCUGGAGGAAUACCGGUGGCGAAGGCGGCCCCCUGGACAAAGACUGACGCUCAGGUGCGAAAGCGUGGGGAGCAAACAGGAUUAGAUACCCCGGUAGUC
This 465-nucleotide ribosomal RNA is filed under the name uncultured Klebsiella sp. Its description in RNAcentral is "bacterial SSU rRNA". It matches the Rfam family "Bacterial small subunit ribosomal RNA", at positions 338 to 795 of the family's 1533-position model. Lineage: Bacteria; Pseudomonadati; Pseudomonadota; Gammaproteobacteria; Enterobacterales; Enterobacteriaceae. The record is from RNAcentral.